UGCCAUCGAACUCUGGCACUGGGUGAA
RNAcentral lists this small RNA (27 nucleotides) under Bombyx mori (domestic silkworm). Its description in RNAcentral is "ovarian small RNA-33701". Lineage: Eukaryota; Metazoa; Arthropoda; Insecta; Lepidoptera; Bombycidae. The record is from RNAcentral.